GGUAUAAAGAGUCAAAAGAUUAAAAAUAAUAUUGAAUUAAUAAUAAAUUAUUGCCUAAUUAAAUUAAGAUAUGUGUYCCUUUUGUAUCAUGAUUAUUCAAUGAUUUUAAUUAUUUAAAAACUAGAAAAAAAAAAUAUUUUUUAAAAAAAAAUUAUAAAGAAAAAUUUUGAAUUUUAAAAAAAUAGUGAAAAAUUAAUGGUUUUUUAUAUCUAGAUAUCUUUUAUAUAAAAAAAGAGGAAAAAGAAUUUAAUUUUAAUUUUAGAAAAUUAGAAUUUAAAAUUUAUUUCUUUUAUUUUUUUAAAAAAAAAUUAAAUUUUUGUAACUAUCUUUUAUGAAAAAAAUUAUUUAUGGAUAUGAGUAAAUAAGUAAAAAAAAAUGUAUUUUUGUACUCAAGAAAAAUAGGACUGUUUAACAAAAACAUUGUUAAUUUUUUAAUUAAUACAACCUGCUCGGUGAAAUUUUAACAGCCUCAGUAUCUUAACUGGGCAAAGGUAGCAUAAUUACUUGUUUUUUGAAUAAAAACUUGUUUGAAGGGUUAAACUUAUUUUUUUCAUGAAAAUAAUUUUGAAUUUUCUUUAAAGUAAAAAAGCUUUAAAUUAUAAAAAAGACGAGAAGACCCUUAAAGCUUUUAAUUUUAAAUGGGGUAUUUAAAUAAUUUUUUUAGAUUAUAUUAAAGAAUAAGUUACUUAAGGGAUAACAGGAUAAUAUUAAAUAAAGACCAUAUUUACUUUAAUGUUUUUUACCUCGAUGUUGAAUUAAUUUUUUUCCUUAUUAUGCAACAGUAUAAAGGGUCAGCCUGUUCGGCYGUGAAAAAAUUACAUGAUUUGAGUUCACAUCGAUGUGAGUCAGAUCGGMUUCUAUCUUUUAUUCAUUUAUUUUUGUACCCAACGAANAACUAAAUAAAAANUUUUUUAUUANGAUUAAAUUUGCCGCUAACAAAUUUUAGAAUAUUUUUAUUCCCVUAUAAAUCCAAAAUGGNUYAAAGUGACAGAAAUANNNGUGAUAANGUUUAACGACUUAUUUANACCYUAGGGUCCUUACUUUUUANAGUUUAAUUAAAAUANNUAUUUCCAAAUAGCAGAUCNAANAUUUUAGUA
This 1097-nucleotide ribosomal RNA is filed under the name Microstomum lineare. RNAcentral describes it as "large subunit ribosomal RNA". Lineage: Eukaryota; Metazoa; Platyhelminthes; Dolichomicrostomida; Microstomidae. The record is from RNAcentral.